AUACGGAGGAUCCGAGCGUUAUCCGGAUUUAUUGGGUUUAAAGGGUGCGCAGGCGGCCAUUUAAGUCAGCGGUUAAAUCGUGGGGCUCAACCCCAUUCUGCCGUUGAUACUGGGUGGCUUGAUUGCGGUCGAGGUUGGCGUAAUUCGUUGUGUAGCGGUGAAAUGCAUAGAUAUGACGAAGAACACCGAUUGCGUAGGCAGCUGACCAGACCGCAAAUGACGCUCAUGCACGAAAGUGCGGGGAUCGAACAGGAUUAGAUACCCUGGUAGUCCGCACAGUAAACGAUGAAUACUUGUUUUCGGCGAUAUAAUGUCGGAGGCAAAGCGAAAGCGAUAAGUAUUCCACCUGGGGAGUACGCCGGCAACGGUGAAACUUAAAGGAAUUGGCGGGG
This 392-nucleotide ribosomal RNA is filed under the name uncultured bacterium. RNAcentral describes it as "partial 16S ribosomal RNA". It matches the Rfam family "Bacterial small subunit ribosomal RNA", at positions 523 to 918 of the family's 1533-position model. The record is from RNAcentral.